This 156-nucleotide ribosomal RNA is filed under the name Vigna angularis (adzuki bean). RNAcentral describes it as "rRNA 5_8S_rRNA". It matches the Rfam family "5.8S ribosomal RNA". From Rfam's summary of the family: 5.8S ribosomal RNA (5.8S rRNA) is a component of the large subunit of the eukaryotic ribosome. It is transcribed by RNA polymerase I as part of the 45S precursor that also contains 18S and 28S rRNA. The record is from RNAcentral. Lineage: Eukaryota; Viridiplantae; Streptophyta; Magnoliopsida; Fabales; Fabaceae.
GACUCUCGGCAACGGAUAUCUCGGCUCUUGCAUCGAUGAAGAACGUAGCGAAAUGCGAUACCUGGUGUGAAUUGCAGAAUCCCGUGAACCAUCGAGUCUUUGAACGCAAGUUGCGCCCGAAGCCACUAGGCCGAGGGUACGCCUGCCUGGGUGUCA